AUUGAACGCUGGCGGCAGGCCUAACACAUGCAAGUCGAACGGUAACAGAGAGUAGCUUGCUACUUUGCUGACGAGUGGCGGACGGGUGAGUAAUGUCUGGGGAUCUGCCUGAUGGAGGGGGAUAACUACUGGAAACGGUAGCUAAUACCGCAUAAUGUCGCAAGACCAAAGCGGGGGACUUUCGGGCCUCGCACCAUCAGAUGAACCCAGAUGGGAUUAGCUAGUAGGUAGGGUAAUGGCUUACCUAGGCGACGAUCCCUAGCUGGUCUGGGAGGAUGACCAGCCACACUGGAACUGAGACGCGGUCCAGACUCCUACGGGAGGCAGCAGUGGGGAAUAUUGCACAAUGGGCGCAAGCCUGAUGCAGCCAUGCCGCGUGUAUGAAGAAGGCCUUCGGGUUGUAAAGUACUUUCAGUCAGGAGGAAGGGUGUGAAAUUAAUACUUUCAUGCAUUGACGUUACUGACAGAAGAAGCACCGGCUAACUCCGUGCCAGCCGCCGCCGUAA
Molecule: ribosomal RNA, 506 nt
Filed under: uncultured bacterium
Lineage: Bacteria
Description: partial 16S ribosomal RNA
Rfam family: Bacterial small subunit ribosomal RNA
Source: RNAcentral